RNAcentral lists this unclassified non-coding RNA (146 nucleotides) under fungal sp. Its description in RNAcentral is "partial internal transcribed spacer region". The stretch from base 1 to 46 matches the Rfam family "Eukaryotic small subunit ribosomal RNA", at positions 1786 to 1831 of the family's 1831-position model. The record is from RNAcentral. Lineage: Eukaryota; Fungi.
AAGUCGUAACAAGGUUUCCGUAGGUGAACCUGCGGAAGGAUCAUUGCAAAAAGAGUGUGAGAUAUGUUGGAAUGUGAGUAGAUGAUAUUUGACAAUAACUUUUACCAAUUUCUAUACAACUCUCCACAAUGGAUCUCUGGGCUCUU